RNAcentral lists this transfer RNA (73 nucleotides) under Agrilus planipennis (emerald ash borer). It matches the Rfam family "tRNA". Rfam says of the family: Transfer RNA (tRNA) molecules are approximately 80 nucleotides in length. Their secondary structure includes four short double-helical elements and three loops (D, anti-codon, and T loops). Lineage: Eukaryota; Metazoa; Arthropoda; Insecta; Coleoptera; Buprestidae. The record is from Rfam by way of RNAcentral.
CCUUUCGUAGCAUAACGGUGAGAGCAUUGGCACGUAAAGCCUAUGAUCCCGGGUUCGAUUCCCGGCGAGGGUG